GGUCAACAGAAGUUCUGCUCCAGUAACUCUCCCAUGGAGGCCAUUAUUGGUUGUUAAAUCAUGACCUCUGACCUUAACCUGCACUAAGUCAGGCCUGCAGGGCGUUAGACGUUGUUCUGAAAUGGCAUGGUGUGUUGUUAGCUAGCUUCUGGCAGGUUCUGCUGAGAUGAUUUAUGGAUUCUGGCUGCUAAAAUAAUGUUGAGGUGUUACUUCUGAACACAAGGCCAUCUCCCCUUAACCCUCAGGUGAGGGGCGUGUCCUGAUGCCUUGAGGGUCACCAACUAAAAUCAUCCUUUGAAGACAAGCUUUUGUAUUGACCUGAUUUACUUAGCAAACAUUGAACUUUGACUACAAAGUUCAUCCUUGAGCAAGUACUCUAGUACAUGAGAGCGGUGAUGCUUGUAGACUUAAGUCUGAGCUGGAAACCGUGGACACCAGAUUGUGUGGCAGACACAAGUAGGACUGGACCACGUUAGAAGAACAUUUAGGGUAAAGUUGUGUGACUUUUCCCUUCACUUCCUCCUGCUUCCUCCCUGUUCAUCACCGUUUCUUGCUAUCUCCACCCUCUUUACCCAGUUUGCUUUGAAGGGAGGAAAUCUGCACUUUUGCACAAGCUGCAAAAGCCAUCUGAGAAGACAGAUUUUCACUGCAUGGAGAAGGUGGUGGGGGUGAGGAGUUUUUAUGCCUCUGCAUCAUUUCCUUUCAGUUACUGAUCUGAAUAGUGCUGUUUCUGCACAUAUCCGUCCUUUUCUCUUCCACACAUCAUCACUGGAAUGGAUCUUAGUACUCUGAAGCUCAUCACAGCUUUUGCUCUCAUCACUGCUGGCAUGGCAGAAAAAGAUGAAUUCUCCCAACCGACCAGUACUCUCAGCCCUAACUGCUCCUGCUCUGAUACUACUCCUGCAGUUCCCCGCUCCACCUCCAGCAGCUCUGAGCUCAUUAUGGGUCUCCUCAGAAUGAACUGGACAAAGAGGUGUGAAGGCACCCUCUAUAUCUACCCAGACAGUCUAUUCAAUGACUCCUCUCUUCCCCUUUGUUACAGUCCUCAUAUCAACAUCUUGAGGAUUGUUGAAAAUGUGUGUCAGAAUGAGAGAGGCUGUAAAUAUGAUCCACACUGGCAGGAUGCUAGCCGGAUCAAGGCUGAAGGUUUCGACAUAACAGAGACGGGAGCGAACAGGGUGUCUCACUGCAAGACAUUCAGUCUGAAGUGCAAAGAGGUGCUCCCAGAUGUGCAGACGGAGCUGCAGGCCUAUAAAGUUGUGACAGCUUUGUUUAUCUGCCUGCUUCUGCUCCUCCUGUUCCUGCGGUUUAUCAGACCCACCGUCAAAGCCUUGAGAAAGAGAUUGUCAGACAGGAGGCAGCAUCACUGGGUUGGACCUACACAGAGUCACAGCGGUGAGACACUUUUAACACUUCUUGUUUUUGAGCUUGGACAACUGUUGGAUAAUCCUCAUUCUCUGCUCAUCCGGGGUCGGAUCACAGGAUCAGCAGCCUAAGUAGGGAGCCCCAGACUUCCCAGCUCCUCUGGGAGAAUCCUAAGGUGUUUCCUGGCCCCUGUCUGUGCUCUGAGUUGUCCUCACAUAUGAGUGUGACUAUGGCAGAGUCACCAGAGACCUUCUGUAGAUGGCAGCCUGGCCAGUUGUCUUUAGCUUAGAGGGUUUGUGCCCCAGCACUGCAGACCAGCUUGUCAGAGACACAACCUGUGGUCUAGCAAACUGUGAGUGUUCUGAGUCAGUAUCCACGGUGACACGCGGUGGUCCACUUCUGCCAUCGGGAGGAGGUUCGGUUUGGUUAUUAAAGAGCAAGUAACGUCUAAAUUAGGGUUAGGGUUAGGGUUAAACUAACUGAACUUUUUUUUGCUGAUGAACUGUAUAAAUGAGUGUCUAAUAGUGUUUUAAAUAUGUGUAUUCAUUAUUUUAGCAUUUUGGUGCAUUUUCUUUAAAAAUUAAAAAUUCUGCCUAAAUACCACAGUAUAGCGCCACCUUCAGCUUAAAACAUAGAGUUUGAGUCAUUUUGAAUACACUUUAGCCAAUGGCUAAAGAGUAAGAUACUACGUAAACCAGUAGAGUACUACGUAGCAGCUCUGUGUCAAAGUUGUAAAGCAUGGAGAGUCUCGGCCACGCCUUGUGGCGAGUUGGGAGUUGGAUUUGCAAGCGAGUGUAGGAGGUUAGCCGUAGUUCAGCAUUAGCAUAUAGCAUUAGCAUAUCCUAGUCUUUAGCAUAGCUUUUAGUGUUAUACAUACUUAUUUAGUGUUUGCUUGGCUGUUGGAUAUUGUAGUUUAGUUAGUGUUUGGCUGUUAGUGUAAUUAGAAAAGUAGUUCGGGUUUAGUGCUCCAUAUCGUGUUAGUAUGGUGAGAAGGUGUAGUGUAGUGUGGUUGCGGUGGCUCUGUGGGGUUGUACUCCUUUCCGCUGGACUUAGACAUUAGACGCCAGUGAUUGCGCGCAAUCGGUGUCUGGAAAACAGUCAGCUCCCGCCUGGUGCUGUGGUUUGCAACCAGCAUUUUACCCGUGAUUCUUUCGCCAACAUGAUGGAGUUUGAACUGGGUUGUUCUGCACGUCUCCGUUUGAAGAGGGAGGCUGUGCCCACCGUGGCUCUUCCGCGAUUUAGAUGCAGCCCACCGACUUUGCUCCCCCACCAUGACGGGCUCCAGUCUGAGGUGAGUACGCUAAAUAAAAGUUUUAACAUCUUCUAAAGACAAUUCCCUACCUAAAUGCAAAGUUUGCGAGACGUGGUUCACUUCAUUUAGCUAAUAUCAGUCUGCACUGCCUUCGGGCUGAUUUGUCAAGUUCACAAAAUGUGGAAUGGGAUGUAAGGUUAGAAUCAGCGGCGAAUCGGAACAUUCUCGAAGCCCUGGCCGACGAAACGGUCCACAUGACUAUUACUGUCAGGCUCGGAGAAAAUUCGGGUUGUUUUUGUGUCAGUCGGUAAUUCUGCAACAGUGACUGUAACUAACGCAGCACUAGCUGACAGACAGCAUUACAGCUUGUGACCCGGUUCUGUGAGGAAUUCUGUUCAGGAGGUCGCAUUUCAGGCUCUCCACAUCAUAUGUGACUGACAUUUACGUUAUAACGAUCACACACUAGGAAUGUUAUAAAGCGCCUAUAUGGGACAGUUUCUUUUGUAUAUUAUCUGACUUUAUAAACUCCAACAACAAUGUGCUUCUAUUUUUUUCAGGCUAAAUCUACCCAAGACACUGGCUGUCAGACUGAUUUAGUAGUCUGCAAGAAUGCACUUGUCCAGGCUGACGUGAAGCCUAACCAGCGUAGCAAUGAGCUCACAGCCGCAGUGUGUCUGGUGACACGGGGACCAUGACGGAAAUUCAUCUUCCAGAAAGUCCCAGAGCAACGUCCACACCCCUGAAAAGACCAAGAUGUGAGGUGUCUGCUGUUGAUUCCAGCUUCCACCUCAGUGACAGUGCAAGCUCAGUGAACUGUUCAAGGUAAAAAAAUUAAAACAUUUCAGAAUUUUUAAGAUAUUAACAAUUAAAUAAGUAUGUGAUUACAUCAUGACGUCAUGAAGGAGGCUACUGAUUCUGGCCCUGUGACACUUGGUGGUGACGUGUGAGCUGAUUCACCUGGUAAAUAACUUUUACAUUAAAUAUUUUGUUCUUUGCUAUCAAAAGUAAAUUAACUAAUAACCUGCAUUAUUGCAGGACACUCAGCAAAAUAUGGACUCUACACCAUGAGGCAGGCACACGUUAAUACUCUAUAAGAGCACAUAAGGUGAGCAACACCACAGAUUACUGUACACUGUCCUGGAUUUGUUUUCUUUCUGCAUCUCAUCAUUAGCCUGGCUGAUCACCUGAUACCUCCUGUCAUCUGGUUAUGACAGCAUGAGGAUGUCCUCACACACCUGUAACCUAUCAGCUCAUCUGGCAGAAUAGAGAGAGAAGAGACAACACCACAUCUCCUGUUCCUGGAAAGCCUUCAGCCAUCCUUUGAUGACUGAGAACGUCCAUCAGCUCUGUCUCCUGUCUGCCUACAAUUAUUAUAAUAAAUAUUGUGUUUGACAAGUUUUUGGUGCUGCCAAAUAUCUCAUUUUGAUUCCAGUUUUGAUAUUUUAAUGGAUAUUUAUAAAUUACAUUAAUUGAAUUAUCACAUUGUUGCAUGUUUAACUAGCUCUAUUGUGAUGAAUUAAACUAGCACCUCACUGUUAAAAGCUCAUUUUAAUUUCAAGCAUGUUUAAGUAUUUAUGGACAUGAACAAAAAUAGGAAAUAUAUAAAUUGAGAUUUAUUUAAUUUAUAUAACAAAUAAGGGGGAAAGAGUCAUUGAAAGGCACAUUCUUCUGGAAGCUCCUGAUCCUGACGACACCAGCAGGAGACCAGCUGCAGACACCAGAGGAUCACCUACGUCCAAGAGAGCAGCUGGUAUCCGUAAAUAAAUAAUGAAAUCAGGGCAGUUUUAGUGGGCUGAACACAUUACAGAAUAAUUUUCUCAUGGGGUAUUUUCAUAACUUUAUGCAGCAGACUGUAACUUAAGCCCAGGGCUACCGGAGAGCUGCUAUCCAGCACGUUUCAGUGGUUUUCCUGCUUUAACGGGUUAGAUUAGCUGUUAAGCAGCUCAGCUAUUUGCUGCUGAUUAAAACCAGGUGUGUUGAAGCAGAUAAACCUCUAAAACAUGCUGAAUACUAGCUCUAGGGCCGUGGAGCCAAACCCUGCAGCUAAUCCAAUGCUAUGGCUAAUGGCUACUUACCAUUCAGAGAUGGUUCUGUUGGGUCGGUUCCGGUAGUUUCAGGCAACUCACAAGCUCAAAACAAUGAGGCUCAGGUCCGCUUGUCUCCUCCAAAUAGACUUGGUCCCUUUCUUCUCGAGUGUCUGGGUAAGGAGGGGGAGAAACGUCCUCCACUACUGAUGACUGCUCAGAGUGAAGGGAGCUAGCAUCGUCUCCUUACCCAUCGUCUUCGUCACUGCCGCGGCUCCCUCCUCUCGGUCCGCCAGGCAACGCCUACUAAUGUUGCAGUUUUUAAAAUUGAUACGUGUGUGGAGAAGGACUCUGAGGCUCACUUGACCCGCUCUUUAAGGUUCUGACCUUGGCGGUCCACUUGAGUGUGUCACAAGUGGUGUUGUACCAUCAGAUUCGGUGACAAUAGGGGAGGAGCCUUGAAAAAUGGGUUGGACCUUUGAAUUGUUUUAGUUUUCUUCAAAUUGUAUCUUGCUUUUUUGUCCAAGAACGCAAACAUCCCCUACUGUCCACCUCCUUAAAUGCACUAAUGUUUUCCAUAUAUGUGCAGUGCUGAGUGAUCACGGUUCUCCACGUGAGCGUGGACAGUGAUAUAACUAUGCAGUGUCCUAUCUGAACCUCACAAACAUUCAGGCGUGACGCCGGCAUCGAGCCAUGUUGCUGUUGGGUUAAAAAGCAGGAAUGUGAGCCGACACGAGGAGCUGCAUACGUGCUCAGAUAAAACACGUGCAUCUUCAUUUCUUUAAUAUCUCUUUUUCAGGAAGUAAUCACAUAAGACCUGUGAAUGCUGUUAAUGUCUUUGAACGGCACCUCCUUCCUGGUUAGGUGUCAACACAGCACAGGCCAGCAGGUGUAGCCCAACAUGGCGGGUGGCGGUGGACAGAUACUUCUUGUCGUGUUUAAGUCACCAUUUUUACCUUGUCAGUAUCUUGUUUGGUUCUAAAGUAAAAGAGCUGUUAACAAAAUCAUUUAGUCAUUGCUGACGACAACAACACGGUCUCAGAGCAGACUCCCUGCAUCCGACGGCAGGUUGUGGUCCUCCAGCGGAGGGAGGGCUGAAGAGCUGUCAGCCUGAUGACAAGGAGGUGUGGUUGGAGUCCCCAGAGUAACAUGGAUUUACUUCGUCCCACAGUGUCCUACCAUCGAGGGAAAGCAGCAGUGAACACCACUGAUGGAGAGAAGAGACUAUCGUACCCAGCUCUAGAGCGUCUGAUGAUCAGUGACAGCAGUGAUGCUUGAUCCUACCUCCGCCCUCCUGAUGAUCAGCUCCUAAACCUAGAAAUAAACGCCAUAGCCACUACCCCCCCCCCCCCCCCCCAAAAUUGCAAAAUAAAAUUAUGGAAACCGCUAAUGUCGUUAGGUCCAUUUUAGGGGGGGCUUCAGCCCCCCCUAAAAUAAUCACAAGCCCCUCUGUCAUUAUUUUUUUAUUUAAUUUUUUUUCUGUUAACUUUUUUAUUUGUUCACAUCUACACGCUCAACACAAUCAUGACACAUGUGAAGCUGGUGCAAAUCUCUCCCUGCUCUCCUCAACAAGUAGCCUCUCCACCAGCCAAUCACAGACAGCUCUUUUUUAUCCAAUCAAAGCAUGUCCAGGAAAUACUGCUUUACAGAAAAACACCCAUUUAACAGCUUAUUGAACUGCUUUCUGCUGCUGGUUAGCUACCAGUCACCAUCCACUGCCUGCAAGAUACUUUGUUGUAAUUCAUGUGUCAUGAUUAGGGUGACUUCCAGAAAAGACACAUUGCCCAUUCCUAAAACUGUUAAAUUGCACUCUUUUCAGUUAAAGAGGACUUUUAAUUUCAACAUAUAAAGUGUUUCUUCUCUGUUUGGUCAGACAUAAAUGAAAUAGGUGGAUUGGUGCUGCAUCUGCAGUGAUGUGGGCGUUGUACCGGUCUGUCGUGGUGAAGAGAGAGCUGAGUCAGAAGGCGACGCUCUCGAUUUACCGGUCGGUCUACGUUCCUACCCUCACCUAUGGUCAUGAGCUUUGGGUAGUGACCGAAAGAACGAGAUCGCAGAUACAAGCGGCCGAAAUGAGUUUUCUCCGGAGUGGCUGGGCUCUCCCUUAGAGAUAGGGUGAGAAACUCGGUCAUCCGGAGGGGCUCUGAGUAGACCCGCUGCUCCUCCACAUCGAGAGGAGCCAGUUGAGGUGGCUCGGGCAUCUGGUCAGGAUGCCUCCUGUCUGCCUCCCUGAGGAGGUUUUCCGGGCACGUCCAACCAGGAGGAGACCUAAUGGGAGAUCCAGGACACGUUGGAGGGACUAUGUCUCUCACCUGGCCAGGGAACACCUUGGGAUUCCCCCGGAGGAGCUGGCUCAAGUGGCUGGGGAGAGGGAAGUCUGGGCCUCUCACCUUAGGCUACUGCCCCCAUGACCCGACUCCGGAUAAGCGGAUGAAAAUGGAUGGAUGGAUGGAAAACGUAUCUUCUGCCUUUUAGCCCUAACAUCACUGUUACAUAUACAUAAAAAUAUUAUUCUUGUUAUAAUAUAUUUCUUGUAUAUAUUUUAUUUGAAUUCAACACGAAGAAGCAAACAGCAAAAGCUUUACUAUUUCACGGUUCCUCUCAAGUCAUCGCAACAUAACUCAGUAGUGGCUCUGAUCGCAUUAAUAACACAGACAGGCCCACAAUAAUAAAAACAUGCUGGUUUAAGCAGUUUUUCAGAGUUUUCAUUGAAUGUUUUCCACAACAGAAUGACAGUAAAAGUACCAGUAAUAUUUUUUAGAUCUAUUUAUGUUUGUUUUUAAUUCAUUUUCCACUAAAAUCAGCAUCUCAUUGAAAAAAAUCCACACUUUUUUGCUAUUUUUUAUAAUUCAGAAACAAAACGUUUUUUUAACAAGACAACAAAUCUCUUCUAAUUUUAGGUGAAAGAAUAAACAUCAGAUUCUAAUCUCUAAAUAUUUCAGAUCUAAUCUAAUAAUAGAGUUUCUUAGAGUUUGUUUUUGCCUCAAAUAUCUGAGAAUAAAUGAUCAAAGCUUCCAUUUAUUCUCAUUACGUCUUCACUGCUUUAAGGGGCUCAGCAUGUGGCAGGUAUCUGACACCGCAGCACCUGUCUGUGUUAGAGCCUCCAUGGUGUUUAUCGUUGUAAUGCUAAUAAAGGCCAUUUUUAUUAUUACCACUACUGGUGACCAAUAAGUGGUGAUACUCUAUUUAACUAGAAUAUCUCCUGCUUGGUCUUCUUGUUUUAGUCUGAAGAUUCUAGGAUUCUUUCAUUCAUUAAGGGAUCGUACGCACGUCGUUGGAUUCAAGAAACAGUCAGGUUUAUAAAAUUCAAGAGUUUAUUUUACAAACAAUUAAGACUUGACAAACUGGUUAAACUAUUGUACUGUGAGAGGAUGGAACUAAGGACGGUGUCUGGAACUUAUGUGUGAAUAUAAUGAAUUCAGAGUCUCCGUAUCUCAGAAAUCGGAGUUCUGGAUGGAAAGAAUUUGGUUUGCAAAUAAGCUAGAAAGAUAUCAUCAAAACCACAUACAGACGCUAUCUCGCUGUGUUCUGCCUCACCCGUUCUGAAGACCCCCGAUUGGAUCCGAGAUGUCAAGGAGCCGGCGACCCCACUGCACGUGGUUCAUAGAACAAACCUCGAUGCAACCAAAUCCGUCCUGGGAUGUCCCCGGGUCACAACGAUAGAUGAAAACGAGCGUCUUAAACAACUCUGAAGGAGUUUGCGUCAGCUUGUACUGCAGAUACUAUCGUGUUGUUCUCAGCUUCGCAGGUGCGAAAAAGGUUUAAGGUUUGGACAACGUGUCAAAAUCCUUCUGGUGAAAGAGGCUUUCGCUCAGAUAGCCGGUCUGAAGCGUUUCUCUGGAACCCUCGAACUGUUGAACUGUUCGAACUGAGGGGAAAACCAGAGCUGGCUAGUUUUAUGGUGGACUAGCCAACCACAGGUUGACACGUUUGAAGAUAUCACCAGGCAUCUCAGAACACACCCUCUUUGACCUGGACACUCUGAAUCUGGGCAAAAGGUUAACUAUGUGUCAUGGGUUAUCCUGACUUUACUUUGUUUUUGUAUGAGUGUGCAAAUGGUGAUGACCUCAUCCAGUAAACACGCUAAGCAUAUAUCAUUAAACAGAUCAAUGGACAUUUCAUUGUAUAAAAUUAUAAAAUCUUAUUUCUUCUGGGAAUAAAGGAGUUCGUUUAAAAGAGUUUCUCUGUGAAAGACCUUGGAGGAGAGAGAAUGCUAUUGUUUAUCCGUUAUUAUCUCUCAGGCUCUGAUUCCAGCUGGUGUGAGGAAGCAGCUCUGAUUAAAGGGACUACGUGUAGACUUCCAGUCUCCUGUGAGGGGAAAAUAUUG
This is a non-coding RNA of Nothobranchius furzeri (turquoise killifish), 8965 nucleotides long. Lineage: Eukaryota; Metazoa; Chordata; Actinopteri; Cyprinodontiformes; Nothobranchiidae. The record is from RefSeq and is a predicted model, not a curated record.